CCGCCAGCUCUAGUCGCUGCGCCUCGCGGAGCUGACCUGGGAAGUGAUGGAUUUAUAGCCCCGGCAAUCUCGCCAUCAGCUCCAGCUUUUCCCAACAGCCCCAACCCGCUUUCCCGGUCAGUCCCUGACCGUGGAUCCGAGGCAGACUGCCUGCUGGGGUGCGCAGGGCGCGAUGCGAGUGUUUUGGUUGUUACCCUCUGAAGACAUAAGGACUGUGAUGUCUGGAGCUCGUGCAGCCAUUUUGUGACCAUGAAGGAAGCUCCCAUAUGCAACGUACAACUGAGUGGAAUGACAGAAAUAAUUCUGGCCUUUGAUGGUCUUGCUAAGCUGCUGGAUUAACCGACCCCAUAGCUGUCCUCCCUCAAGACUUCGUAUGGAUGCCUUUGCUGCUGUGUCCCAUAGCAGGGCAAGUCCAGGAGUAGGAAAACCAGUUUGGAAGCUGUAGC
This is a long non-coding RNA of Suricata suricatta (meerkat), 446 nucleotides long. RefSeq lists it as uncharacterized. The record is from RefSeq and is a predicted model, not a curated record. NCBI's taxonomy places the organism in Eukaryota, Metazoa, Chordata, Mammalia, Carnivora, Herpestidae. The transcript has 3 exons.